UCGAAGCAACGCGAAGAACCUUACCAGGUCUUGACAUCCUCUGCCAAUCCUAGAGAUAGGAUGUUCCCUUCGGGGACAGAGUGACAGGUGGUGCAUGGUUGUCGUCAGCUCGUGUCGUGAGAUGUUGGGUUAAGUCCCGCAACGAGCGCAACCCUUGAUCUUAGUUGCCAGCAUUUAGUUGGGCACUCUAAGGUGACUGCCGGUGACAAACCGGAGGAAGGUGGGGAUGACGUCAAAUCAUCAUGCCCCUUAUGACCUGGGCUACACACGUGCUACAAUGGAUGGAACAAAGGGCAGCGAAGCCGYGAGGUCAAGCAAAUCCCAUAAAACCAUUCUCAGUUCGGAUUGCAGGCUGCAACUCGCCUGC
Molecule: ribosomal RNA, 367 nt
Filed under: uncultured Bacillus sp.
Lineage: Bacteria; Bacillati; Bacillota; Bacilli; Caryophanales; Bacillaceae
Description: bacterial SSU rRNA
Rfam family: Bacterial small subunit ribosomal RNA
Source: RNAcentral